GCAAGCCCGAGUUGUAAUUUGUAGAGGAUGCUUCUAGGCAGCGGCCGGUCUAAGUUCUCUGGAACAGGACGUCACAGAGGGUGAGAACCCCGUAUGUGAUCGGCGCGCACCUUCUACGUAGCUCCUUCGACGAGUCGAGUUGUUUGGGAAUGCAGCUCUAAAUGGGAGGUAAAUUUCUUCUAAAGCUAAAUACCGGCCAGAGACCGAUAGCGCACAAGUAGAGUGAUCGAAAGAUGAAAAGCACUUUGGAAAGAGAGUGAAACAGCACGUGAAAUUGUUAAAAGGGAAGCGCUCGCAACCAGCCCUCGGGACGUCGUUCGGCCGGACUUCUGUCCGGUUUACUCUGCGUCUCGAGGCCAACAUCAUCUGGGGCCGUCGGAUAAGACCGUGGGAAUGUGGCUCCCCCUCGGGGGAGUGUUAUAGCCCGCGGUGAUGCGACGCGCCUCGGGUGAGGUCCGCACUUCGGUAAGGAUGUUGGCUUAAUGGUUGCCAGCGGCCCGUCUUGAAACACGGACCAAGGAGUCUAACAUCUAUGCGAGUGUUCGGGUGUCAAACCCCUACGCGUAAUGAAAGUGAACGGAGGUGGGAGCUUCGGCGCACCAUCGACCGAUCCUGAUGUCCUCGGAUGGAUUUGAGUAAGAGCAUAGCUGUUGGGACCCGAAAGAUGGUGAACUAUGCCUGAAUAGGGUGAAGCCAGAGGAAACUCUGGUGGAGGCUCGCAGCGGUUCUGACGUGCAAAUCGAUCGUCAAAUUUGGGUAUAGGGGCGAAAGACUAAUCGAACCAUUAACUACUAGGUGGUUAAGAGGGGAUCCUAGUGUCCCUUAGUCGUCUGGGUAAGCAAUUAUUCGACGGCAACACUGUCAAAUUGCGGGGAGUCCCUAAAGCAUUCGCCACCGCGGCCCACCGAAAGACUGGGUGCAGCACCGGACCUAAUCGUCCGGGGACGGUCACAGCGCGAGUGAUGCAACAAUGGGUGAUCCGCAGCCAAGCGCUAAAGCAUUCGCCACCGCGGCCCACCGAAAGACUGGGUGCAGCACCGGACCUAAUCGUCCGGGGACGGUCACAGCGCGAGUGAUGCAACAAUGGGUGAUCCGCAGCCAAGCG
RNAcentral lists this ribosomal RNA (1105 nucleotides) under Mycodiella eucalypti. RNAcentral's name for it is "partial large subunit ribosomal RNA". It matches the Rfam family "Eukaryotic large subunit ribosomal RNA", at positions 132 to 1434 of the family's 3401-position model. The record is from RNAcentral. Lineage: Eukaryota; Fungi; Ascomycota; Dothideomycetes; Mycosphaerellales; Mycosphaerellaceae.